AUUGACGUUACCCGCAGAAGAAGCACCGGCUAACUCCGUGCCAGCAGCCGCGGUAAUACGGAGGGUGCAAGCGUUAAUCGGAAUUACUGGGCGUAAAGCGCACGCAGGCGGUCUGUCAAGUCGGAUGUGAAAUCCCCGGGCUCAACCUGGGAACUGCAUUCGAAACUGGCAGGCUUGAGUCUUGUAGAGGGGGGUAGAAUUCCAGGUGUAGCGGUGAAAUGCGUAGAGAUCUGGAGGAAUACCGGUGGCGAAGGCGGCCCCCUGGACAAAGACUGACGCUCAGGUGCGAAAGCGUGG
Molecule: ribosomal RNA, 297 nt
Filed under: Salmonella enterica subsp. enterica serovar Bonariensis
Lineage: Bacteria; Pseudomonadati; Pseudomonadota; Gammaproteobacteria; Enterobacterales; Enterobacteriaceae
Description: partial 16S ribosomal RNA
Rfam family: Bacterial small subunit ribosomal RNA
Source: RNAcentral